GAUGAACGCUAGCGGGAGGCUUAACACAUGCAAGUCGAGGGGCAGCAUAGGGUAGCAAUACUCUGAUGGCGACCGGCAAACGGGUGAGUAACGCGUAUGCAACCUACCCUGUACAGGGGGAUAACCCGGAGAAAUUCGGACUAAUAUCCCGUAAUAAUAUCCGGAGGCAUCUUUGGAUAUUUAAAGUUCCGACGGUACGGGAUGGGCAUGCGUAACAUUAGCUGGUUGGUAAGGUAACGGCUUACCAAGGCUAUGAUGUUAGGGGUCCUGAGAGGGUGGUCCCCCACACUGGUACUGAGACACGGACCAGACUCCUACGGGAGGCAGCAGUGAGGAAUAUUGGUCAAUGGGCGCAAGCCUGAACCAGCCAUCCCGCGUGCAGGAAGACGGCCCUAUGGGUUGUAAACUGCUUUUCCAGGGAGAGAAACUUACGCACGUGUUGCGUGACUGACGGUACCCUGGGAAUAAGCAUCGGCUAACUCCGUG
This 486-nucleotide ribosomal RNA is filed under the name uncultured bacterium. RNAcentral describes it as "bacterial SSU rRNA". It matches the Rfam family "Bacterial small subunit ribosomal RNA", at positions 28 to 507 of the family's 1533-position model. The record is from RNAcentral.